AACUUUCAACAAUGGAUCUCUUGGCUCUCGCAUCGAUGAAGAACACAGCGAAAUGUGAUAAGUAAUGUGAAUUGCAGAAUCCAGUGAAUCAUCGAAUCUUUGAACUCAUCUUGCGCUCCUUGGCAUUCCAAGGAGCAUGCCUGUUUGAGUGUCGUUAAACUAUCAAAACACUUUUCUUAGGUGUUUUGGACAUUGGGAGCAUCUUGCUGGUAUGU
RNAcentral lists this ribosomal RNA (215 nucleotides) under Amanita velosa. RNAcentral describes it as "5.8S ribosomal RNA". The stretch from base 1 to 154 matches the Rfam family "5.8S ribosomal RNA". From Rfam's summary of the family: 5.8S ribosomal RNA (5.8S rRNA) is a component of the large subunit of the eukaryotic ribosome. It is transcribed by RNA polymerase I as part of the 45S precursor that also contains 18S and 28S rRNA. The record is from RNAcentral. Lineage: Eukaryota; Fungi; Basidiomycota; Agaricomycetes; Agaricales; Amanitaceae.